Gallus gallus (chicken) is the source of this 44-nucleotide non-coding RNA. The record is from Rfam. NCBI's taxonomy places the organism in Eukaryota, Metazoa, Chordata, Aves, Galliformes, Phasianidae.
CAAAAGGCUUUUAUAAAGCCAACAACAGAGAAAAAAAGAAUAUU